This 166-nucleotide ribosomal RNA is filed under the name uncultured bacterium. RNAcentral describes it as "partial 16S rRNA". It matches the Rfam family "Bacterial small subunit ribosomal RNA", at positions 355 to 511 of the family's 1533-position model. The record is from RNAcentral.
UAGGGAAGUCUUCCACAAUGGACGGCAAGUCUGAUGGAGCAACGCCGCGUGAGUGAAGAAGGUCUUCGGAUCGUAAAACUCUGUUGUUAGAGAAGAACACGAGUGAGAGUAACUGUUCAUUCGAUGACGGUAUCUAACCAGCAAGUCACGGCUAACUACGUGCCAG